Varroa destructor (honeybee mite) is the source of this 1161-nucleotide long non-coding RNA. RefSeq lists it as uncharacterized. Lineage: Eukaryota; Metazoa; Arthropoda; Arachnida; Mesostigmata; Varroidae. The record is from RefSeq and is a predicted model, not a curated record.
CACACGUAUAGAAGUUAUCUUGCUUAGAAAACGAAAUCGAUGAAGCAGUGGACCGCGCAUACGCCAGAUCUGGCUAACUUAUACGACCUGCUAAAACUGCGAGUUCAGACAACGACAGAAUUUCGAGCAUUUAUUUGCAGCGAUUAUUCCAUUGGGAUCCUUUCGCAUCUGAAGCAUCCACCCUCUGAAGCACACAAUCGAGUAGGUAACUGAUCGAACGUUGCAAAGGUCCUUGUCGUUUUCAUUGAAUGGAGACCAACAGAACGAUAACUAUACAUUUACAUUAUAUUUCGGAACGGCGAUCACUGCAGUUGGUUCUAGCAAUGGAACUGUGCUAGGACAUGUUGAAGUACCUAAAUCGAAUUGAGUAAACGUAGAAUUUCAAGCUCCUCAAUAUAAUAUGAUAGAAUUUUAAAAUGGAGGCCGCGAUUAAUCGAUCGCUUUCUUUAGACACGCCAAAUAAAUACUUUCGUAGACGCUGUGCUGCUGCUGUUGUUGUGCGGGUAUAUGGGCGUAUGAAGGAAAAGCCAGCCCCAUUUGCCGCCCUCUCAUGGAUUUCGGUACCUGUCAGAUGAUAACAUCAUCAAACCGAGAACGAGGUACAAACAACCCACAUAGAGCACACGCAUGCAGACAACGCAAUGGGACGUAUUGCUUGUAAGGCAGCACCGUCAAAUUUUCCACCGGAAUAAAAUUGUUACCGUCUACGAAUAAGUUGGUGCAAAUAUCUAUUAUAUUAAGGCUGAAAAACACAAUAAGAAGCUCACGGCUCAUGAGGAGGAGGAGCGCACAAAUUGAAAAAUGGGCUGCAAUUUUUUGUCGACAAUUUACUAACCGGACGUCAUUGAAAAAAACUGCUGAAAAAAUUAUGAGUUGGGUUUGAACUGAAUAGGGUAUACUUAAACCUUGAUUGGGAGUCCAUCAAGGGGGGAGUAAAUCAGAUUCGGUUCAUGUUUUAGAAUAAUGAACAAGCCGGGCUACUACCAUCGAAAACGUUCGUUUUCUCUAAGAUGAAGGACAUCUUCAUCUUCACACCAGAUUAUCUCAUUAUUUGUAACAGUUUUACAAGGUAUCCGUUCGCGUCAAAUCAACCGGAUUCGGUAAAAGUUGGACAGGUCGAACAAUCUCUGAUUGUACAAAAAAGUAGUAUAUUUGUGGAUG